This 382-nucleotide unclassified non-coding RNA is filed under the name uncultured bacterium. Its description in RNAcentral is "contains 16S-23S intergenic spacer region". The record is from RNAcentral.
UCGCGGCUUAUCACCGGCAGUCCCCUUAGAGUGCCCAACUGAAUGAUGGCAACUAAGGGCGAGGGUUGCGCUCGUUGCGGGACUUAACCCAACAUCUCACGACACGAGCUGACGACAGCCAUGCAGCACCUGUCACCGGUCCAGCCGAACUGAAGGUUACCAUCUCUGGAAACCGCGACCGGGAUGUCAAGACCAGGUAAGGUUCUUCGCGUUGCAUCGAAUUAAACCACAUGCUCCACCGCUUGUGCGGGCCCCCGUCAAUUCCUUUGAGUUUCAGUCUUGCGACCGUACUCCCCAGGCGGAGUGCUUAAUGUGUUGACUUCGGCACAGCAGGGGUCGAUACCCGCUACACCAAGCACUCAUCGUUUACGGCGUGGACUAC